AGAACUAGAUGGCAUACAAGGACCAAUUAAUGUUGGGACAGGUUGUGAUUUCAGAAGGCAGGCACUUCACGGUUUUGAUGCUCCUGUUACCAAGAAACCUCCAGGCAAGACCUGCAACUGUUUGCCGAAAUGAUUCUGUUGCCUGUGCUGUUGUUCAAGAAAGAACAAGAAAACCAAGCAGCUGAAGCAGAAGCCUAAGAAGUCGAGGGAAGCUUUGAAGCAGAUACAUGUUCUUGAUAACAUUGAAGGGGGAAUUACAGAGUUGAAUACUCAGAAGUCAUCAGACACGUCAGAAAUGAAAAUGAAAAAGAAAUUCGGUCAGUCCCCUGUUUUCGCGGCUUCCAAUCUCUGGAGAAUGGCGGGGUUCCUCGAAAUGCAAGCCCAGCAUCAUUACUGAGUGAAGCUGUUCAAGUCAUAAGCUGUGGUUAUGAAGAUAAAACCGAAUGGGGGAAGGAAGUUGGCUGGAUAUAUGGGUCGGUGACUGAGGAUAUCCUGACUGGAUUCAAGAUGCACUGUCAUGGCUGGAGAUCUGUGCAUUGCAUACCCAAACGCCCCGCUUUCAAGGGUUCCGCUCCUAUUAACCUCUCAGAUCAUCUACACCAAGUUAUACGUUGGGUUGUCGAAUCUGUUGAAAUUUUCUUAAGCAGACAUUGUCCCAUUUGGUAUGGACAUGGGGGUGGGUUGAAAUGGUUGGAACGACUCUCCUACAUAAACUCAGUUGUAUAUCCGUUGACAUCGAUU
Long non-coding RNA from Hibiscus syriacus, 741 nucleotides. RefSeq lists it as uncharacterized. The record is from RefSeq and is a predicted model, not a curated record. The transcript is spliced from 3 exons. NCBI's taxonomy places the organism in Eukaryota, Viridiplantae, Streptophyta, Magnoliopsida, Malvales, Malvaceae.